This 253-nucleotide ribosomal RNA is filed under the name uncultured bacterium. RNAcentral's name for it is "partial 16S ribosomal RNA". It matches the Rfam family "Bacterial small subunit ribosomal RNA", at positions 524 to 776 of the family's 1533-position model. The record is from RNAcentral.
UACGAAGGGUGCAAACGUUGCUCGGAAUCAUUGGGCGUAAAGCGCACGUAGGCGGCUUCGCAAGUCGGAUGUGAAAUCCCAUGGCUCAACCAUGGACGUGCAUUCGAAACUGCGAAGCUUGAGUAUGGAAGAGGGUCGCGGAAUUCCCGGUGUAGAGGUGAAAUUCGUAGAUAUCAGGAGGAACACCCGUGGCGAAGGCGGCUCUCUGGGUCGGACCUGACGCUGAGGCGCGAAAGCGUGGGGAGCGAACGGG